Long non-coding RNA from Mycetomoellerius zeteki, 86 nucleotides. RefSeq lists it as uncharacterized. NCBI's taxonomy places the organism in Eukaryota, Metazoa, Arthropoda, Insecta, Hymenoptera, Formicidae. The record is from RefSeq and is a predicted model, not a curated record. The transcript is spliced from 3 exons.
GAAGAAAGAAUUUUACUAAUUGAUCAAUCAAAAAAUGCCUCGAAGCAUUUAUAGCAUCAAGUGAUAAUAUUUAAUAUAAGUAAUAU